GUGACAGCCCCGUACACAAAAAUGCACAUAUUGUGAGCUCGAUGAGUAGGGCGGGACACGUGGUAUCCUGUCUGAAUAUGGGGGGACCAUCCUCCAAGGCUAAAUACUCCUGACUGACCGAUAGUGAACCAGUACCGUGAGGGAAAGGCGAAAAGAACCCCGGCGAGGGGAGUGAAAAAGAACCUGAAACCGUGUACGUACAAGCAGUGGGAGCACGCUUAGGCGUGUGACUGCGUACCUUUUGUAUAAUGGGUCAGCGACUUAUAUUCUGUAGCAAGGUUAACCGAAUAGGGGAGCCGAAGGGAAACCGAGUCUUAACUGGGCGUUAAGUUGCAGGGUAUAGACCCGAAACCCGGUGAUCUAGCCAUGGGCAGGUUGAAGGUUGGGUAACACUAACUGGAGGACCGAACCGACUAAUGUUGAAAAAUUAGCGGAUGACUUGUGGCUGGGGGUGAAAGGCCAAUCAAACCGGGAGAUAGCUGGUUCUCCCCGAAAGCUAUUUAGGUAGCGCCUCGUGAAUUCAUCUCCGGGGGUAGAGCACUGUUUCGGCAAGGGGGUCAUCCCGACUUACCAACCCGAUGCAAACUGCGAAUACCGGAGAAUGUUAUCACGGGAGACACACGGCGGGUGCUAACGUCCGUCGUGAAGAGGGAAACAACCCAGACCGC
RNAcentral lists this ribosomal RNA (668 nucleotides) under Escherichia coli. RNAcentral's name for it is "partial 23S ribosomal RNA". It matches the Rfam family "Bacterial large subunit ribosomal RNA", at positions 364 to 1035 of the family's 2925-position model. Lineage: Bacteria; Pseudomonadati; Pseudomonadota; Gammaproteobacteria; Enterobacterales; Enterobacteriaceae. The record is from RNAcentral.